GUGGUGCAUGGUUGUCGUCAGCUCGUGUCGUGAGAUGUUGGGUUAAGUCCCGCAACGAGCGCAACCCUUAAGCUUAGUUGCCAUCAUUAAGUUGGGCACUCUAAGUUGACUGCCGGUGACAAACCGGAGGAAGGUGGGGAUGACGUCAAAUCAUCAUGCCCCUUAUGAUUUGGGCUACACACGUGCUACAAUGGACAAUACAAAGGGCAGCGAAACCGCGAGGUCAAGCAAAUCCCAUAAAGUUGUUCUCAGUUCGGAUUGUAGUCUGCAACUCGACUACAUGAAGCUGGAAUCGCUAGUAAUCGUAGAUCAGCAUGCUACGGUGAAUACGUUCCCGGGUCUUGUACACACCGCCCG
RNAcentral lists this ribosomal RNA (357 nucleotides) under Staphylococcus aureus. RNAcentral describes it as "bacterial SSU rRNA". It matches the Rfam family "Bacterial small subunit ribosomal RNA", at positions 1038 to 1396 of the family's 1533-position model. Lineage: Bacteria; Bacillati; Bacillota; Bacilli; Caryophanales; Staphylococcaceae. The record is from RNAcentral.